AUACGUAGGUGGCAAGCGUUGUCCGGAAUUAUUGGGCGUAAAGCGCGCGCAGGCGGCCUUUUAAGUCUGAUGUGAAAGCCCACGGCUCAACCGUGGAAGGUCAUUGGAAACUGAAAGGCUUGAGUACAGAAGAGGAAAGCGGAAUUCCACGUGUAGCGGUGAAAUGCGUAGAGAUGUGGAGGAACACCAGUGGCGAAGGCGGCUUUCUGGUCUGUAACUGACGCUGAGGCGCGAAAGCGUGGGGAGCAAACAGGAUUAGAUACCCUGGUAGUCCACGCCGUAAACGAUGAGUGCUAAGUGUUAGGGGGUUUCCGCCCCUUAGUGCUGCAGCAAACGCAUUAAGCACUCCGCCUGGGGAGUACGGCCGCAAGGCUGAA
Molecule: ribosomal RNA, 377 nt
Filed under: uncultured bacterium
Lineage: Bacteria
Description: bacterial SSU rRNA
Rfam family: Bacterial small subunit ribosomal RNA
Source: RNAcentral